UGCCGAUUCGCACACAUUGGAAUGUGGCUAUCUCCUCCUAAGGCUUUCGUCCCACCGAUACCAAAUUUGCUCAGGGCAAUCUACACCCCAUGCCCAUUCAAAGUUGUAAAAAUCAUGACGCUGCACCCCACGGUUUACGUUCUAGGGGGCGCCAAAGAUGACCCAAAAAUCCACAUUCUUAAAAGUCAUUUUGGCCACUGCAGGAGUACAGAGUACUGCAGUUCUAGGGGGCGCCAAAGAUGACCCAAAAAUCCACAUUCUUAAAAGUCUUUUUGGCCACUGCAGGAGUACAGAGUACUGCAGGAUACACACACAUAUACACACACGCCAACAUACACACACACACACACACACACACACACACACACACACACUCAGAGUCUGUUUUUUAGCACCUGCAAAAACAUGCUGUUUACAUAUUUGACAAGAAUGCAGAGGCUUCCUUUUGCCCCUGAAAAAAAUCAAAUUUCAAACACAACUUGACUGUUCAUUUCUCCAAAAGACAACCAUGAAGCUCCAUUUCAAACCUGAAGCAGAUAGUUGGUGCAUGUGUACAGUAACCGGAGGGGAGUGAGGUGACUAUUUCUGAGGAGAACAUGAGCAGUGAAGAUUCACCUUGGAGCUAGAACAGGGACGUGCACAUGAUUAUACAGGGGCAGGGGCUCAAGUUUUUUCCAGUCAUUUAUACAAUAUGGAAAUUAAUGUGAAAUUAAACCACAAAUAUGUGUGAUGAACUGUUUUUAAAACUUAAACUUCAAAUAAAAAUUGUAAACUUCAAAACAUAUGCAAAUUUUUAACAAAGAACAUAGUAAUUUACCUCUAUUUACAUCAAAAUGCAGGCAAUGGCCCAGGCGUUCUUUGUAAAAUUAUUUACAAAACACUGUAUAGUCUCACAAAUGUCACUUUUUAUUUAUGCCACUACAAAAAAACAUGAUGUAAAUGAUGCAUGAUGUAAAACAUGAUGUAAAAAACUUGUGUAGAUCCUCCUCUAUGUCAGUCCAUGUGUAAUUUUUCCAUAAUUCUUUGUUUUUUGCAGCAUUUUUGUUAGUGUAACUGCAGAUUGUGCUGACAGUGUCUAUGGCACAAAAAAAAAAAAAAAAUUAAAAUGCCUCAACAUGAACCCCUGGUGGUCUCUGAGGGUGAAACCUGCUAACUGCUGCAGCUCUGUCAGCUUCAGUCUCCCAUGCAGAGCUCGGAGCGCAUGUGUGGCUCUGCACCCUUAGCAGCGUUGCUAACUCCUCAGUAAGGAAAGCCUGCUUCAUGUCAGAGUCUCUAAACUCCAGAAGAAGUCGAUAAAAGUCCCUUUCUUUCUAAAAAAAAGUCGUUAGGGGGUCUGAAAAGUCAUUGAAUCUAACAACAAAGUCGCUAGGUUUGCAACUACGUGUCCCAGACUGCAUCCCUGCUGAGAGUCCCUCCCUCCCUUCUCAUGUUGCAGGAAGAACGUAAGCGCCCGCCCCUUGUCAAUCAGUCACCAUAUAAUUUUGGAUUGGUUGUUGUGGUGAAGUUUUCCACCAAUAGGAGAGAUGUUGUGGUGUGUUUUUUUUUUCCUUUGGCAAGCCUUUUCCGCCUGUAAGACCUGUCGCUAAUGUCUGCAUGCUAUGUUUUCCUGUCUCAUACAGCGCGAUCGAGCGCCGAACGUGAUCAAAAUAAGCAGAAAAAAAGUAUCGCGGACAUAAUUUAUCAUAACUCUGGUUUUAUUUGGCCUAUCAACACAAUUUAAAAACUGGUAUAUAGGUUGAGGUCCUCACUUUUGAGAUAAGUUGAAACGGAGAGUCAACGAGGCUCCGUCUUGCAGCUACAUCCGGUUAAAUAUGUCAUGUGACUUGAACGCACACACAGACACACACACACGCACACACACACACACACACACACACACACACACACACACACACACACACUCAGAGUCUGGUUUUUAGCACCUGCAAAAACAUGCUAUUUACAUAUUUGACAAGAAUGCAGAGGCUCCUUUUGCCCCUGAAAAGAAUCAAAUUUCAAACACAACUUGACUGGUCAUUUCUCCAAAAGACAACCAUGAAGCUCCAUCCAAACCUGAAGCAGGCAGUUGGUGCAUGUGUACAGUAACCUGAGGGGAGUGAGGUGAGUGCUUCUGAGGAGAACAUGAGCAGUGAAGAUUCACCUUGGAGCUAGAACAGAGACAUGCACAUGAUUAUACAGGGGCAGGGGCUCAAGUUUUUUCCAGUCGUUUAUACAAUAUGGAAAUUAAUGUGAAAUUAAAACACAAAGUAUUAAUAGAAAGGUAAUGACUGUCCUGUGUAGGUGACAGUGAUAUCCAAUAGGCUAGGCACUCACGAGGCUGGCUGUGGCAAGUGUAAGUGAAAGCAACACGCACUGGCAGGAAGAACAGCAAACGCCGAUGAAGGAAAAGGGUCUUUGCAGUGAUGGGCGUUACCAGAGAGGGCGAUGGCCAGAGGACACAAAUGGGACGGGGAGGCAGCACGUUGGGGGGGGGGGGACGCGACAUGGCUCGGGCCCGCCAGUGCCCCAACGGGGUCCUAGUUAGGGCCCAAGCGUAGCUGCUAAGCAGCUGCGAGAGCCCUCUUGUUCCUGUAGUUUCCUUCUUUUUAGGGCCCGAGCGUAGCUGCUAAGCAGCUGCGAGAGCCCUAUUAUUCCCCAAGUGGUUUUUCUUUGUUUCUUUCUUUCUUUCUUUCUUUCUUUCUUCUUUUUCCUCCCCUUUGAACUGGAAAAUGGCCCACUUCCCACUGGCGAAAACUCAUGAAAUUUGGCAGGACGACCGGGCCUGGUGAAAAAUUCGAUAUUCUGAAGUCGCCCAAACAAUAAAAUGCAAAAUGGCUCCAUAGCGCCCCCUAAGGUGGAAAUUCACACUAUUGACUGUCACGCCUGUACGCUUUGUCAUAUUGACACAAAAAUUGACACACAUAUGUAUCUCAAUAAGAUCUAUAAAAAAGUCAGUGCGGCCGUAUCUGUCAAAUGUACGGUUAAAGGGUUAUUUCGCAUUUUUUUCCGAUCCGCACACAUUGGAAUUUCGCUAACUCCUCCGCAGGCUUUCGUUCCACCGGCACCACAUUUGCUCAGGCCAAUCUACACCCCGUGGCCAUUAAAAGUUAUCAAAAUCAUGACGCUGCACCCCAAGGUUUAGGUUCUAGGGGGCGCCAAAGAUAACACUAAAAUCCACAUAUUUAAAAGUCUUAUAACUUUUUAUUUUUGUCCUCACUGGCCUCCAAGUUUUCUAGGAUGAUGCAAUGUCCAGCCAUCAACACAUUUGUGAAGGAAUUUUUACUCCCCAAAAGAGCGCCCCCCCAUGGAAGGAGAAAAAAGUCCAUUUUUUCUUGUCCCCUAAGGUGAAAAUACACAUUGUUGAGUGUCACGCCUAUACGCUUUGUCAAAAUGACACAAAAAUUGACACACACAUGUAACUCAAUAAGAUCUACGAAAAAGUCAAUGCGCGCGUAUCUGUCAAAUGUACGGUUAAAGGGUUAUUCCGCAUUUUUUGCCGAUCCGCACACAUUGGAAUUUCGCUAACUCCUCCGAAGGCUUUCGUUCCACCGGCACCACAUUUGCUCAGGCCAAUCUACACCCCAUGGCCAUUAAAAGUUAUUCAAAUCAUGACGCUGCACCCCACGGUUUAGGUUCUAGGGGGCGCCAAAGACAACCCUAAAAUCCACAUAUUAAAAAGUCUUAUAACUUUUUAUUUUUGUCCUCACUGGCCUCCAAGUUUUCUAGGAUGAUGCAAUGUCGAGCCAUCAACACAUUUGUGAAGGAAUUUUUACUCCCCAAAAGAGCGCCCCCCCAUGGCAGGAGAAAAAAGUCCAUUUUUUCUUGUCCCCUAAGGUGAAAAUACAUAUUGUUGAGAUUCACGCCUAUACGCUUUGUCAUAUUGACACAAAAUUUGACAAUCACGUGCCUUGCCUGGUAUCAUUUUUUUUCAGCACAACCUCACCUGUGCGAAUUUACAGUUAUUUUAUCAUGUUGACAUACUGAAUUUACACAAUGGACCCAAAUUCACACACAAAACAUAAAAUCCGAGUGGAAAAAAGUAACAUUUUUACUGUGAAAACCACAAAUAUGUGUGAUGAACUGUUUUUAAAACUUAAACUUCAAAUAAAAAUUGUAAACUUCAAAACAUAUGCAAAUUUUUAACAAAGAACAUAGUGAUUUACCUCUAUUUACAUCAAAAUGCAGGCAAUGGCCCAGGCGUUCUUUGUAAAAUUAUUUACAAAACACUGUAUAGUCUCACAAAUGUCACUUUUUAUUUAUGCCACUACAAAAAAACAUGAUGUAAAUGAUGCAUGAUGUAAAACAUGAUGUAAAAAACUUGUGUAGAUCCUCCUCUAUGUCAGUCCAUGUGUAAUUUUUCCAUAAUUCUUUGUUUUUUGCAGCAUUUUUGUUAGUGUAACUGCAGAUUGUGCUGACAGUGUCUAUGGCACAAAAAAAAAAAAAAUUUAAAAUGCCUCAACAUGAACCCCUGGUGGUCUCUGAGGGUGAAACCUGCUAACUGCUGCAGCUCUGUCAGCUUCAGUCUCCCAUGCAGAGCUCUGAGCGCAUGUGUGGCUCUGCACCCUUAGCAGCGUUGCUAACUCCUCAGUAAGGAAAGCCUGCUUCAUGUCAGAGUCUCUAAACUCCAGAAGAAGUCGAUAAAAGUCCCUUUCUUUCUAAAAAAAGUCGUUAGGGGGUCUGAAAAGUCAUUGAAUCUAACAACAAAGUUGCUAGGUUUGCAACUACGUGUCCCAGACUGCAUCCCUGCUGAGAGUCCCUCCCUCGCUUCUCAUGUUGCAGGAAGAACGUAAGCGCCCGCCCC
RNAcentral lists this long non-coding RNA (4780 nucleotides) under Xyrichtys novacula (pearly razorfish). Lineage: Eukaryota; Metazoa; Chordata; Actinopteri; Labriformes; Labridae. The record is from RNAcentral.